CGUUUUCAAAUUGGUCUACAUUAAGGUCCAAAGGGUCCAAAAUUAAACUUAGUUCGAUUUUAACAAAAAUUGAAUCCUUGGGGUUCUUUGAUAUGCUGAAUCUAAAAAUGUACUUAGAUUUUUGAUUAUUGGCCCAGUUUUCAAGUUGGUCCAAAUCGGGUCCAAAAUUAAACUUUGUUUGAUUUCAUCAAAAAUUGAAUAA
Molecule: long non-coding RNA, 202 nt
Filed under: Mytilus galloprovincialis (Mediterranean mussel)
Lineage: Eukaryota; Metazoa; Mollusca; Bivalvia; Mytilida; Mytilidae
Source: RNAcentral